Long non-coding RNA from Drosophila miranda, 1282 nucleotides. RefSeq lists it as uncharacterized. The record is from RefSeq and is a predicted model, not a curated record. The transcript has 3 exons. NCBI's taxonomy places the organism in Eukaryota, Metazoa, Arthropoda, Insecta, Diptera, Drosophilidae.
AAAACAAACACAAAUCCCAUUACACACAUUGCUAUCGCGGUGACAAGAUUUUUGUUGUUUUGAGUUCUGUGUUGUGUGUGUGUAUUUGCAUUGAAUGAAUAUGAAUUGAAAUUUGUAAAAUCCACAGAGCCUGCGCCCCCGCUCCUAGAACUGUGGGCAGCAGCGGGCAGCGACGCCAGCAGAGGUUAUCAGGCGGAGGCCCGAUGAUAGCCCCCAAUCUUGGACACCGAGUGCACCAUCAUAUGGGCUGUUGUUUAUUACAAUUAUAACCGACGCUAAUGACCGGGGACGGAUUGGUUCGGAACGCUUCGGUUUCGGAUCCCCAUGGGUGCAGUCGUGUAUGCUCUACGUACAAUCAUCUGAUCGGAACGGAACGGUUCGAAUCGGAUCCGGCUCUGAAAACCCCUGUAAUCAUCAUCAUGUCAUGCUCGUGCAGGCAUUGGACCUAAAUAUAGAAUUGAUUCUUAAUCGAAGUCAUGUUCAAUUUUUCGUCGGUAGUAGUAGGGUUUCCACUGCUCCGUGGUUCAAGUUCAGGCGAUAACCCUUCGAGGCGGGGAGCGGGUUGCCAUGGGGGCGAUGCCGAACGGAAAUUGAAACUUGAAGAUUAAACGGAAUUGGAACAUCACAAUGAUCAGAAAUAAAUGUCCGCUUUGAUGGGUAGCCGUUCUUAUGAGUGAUGGUUGAAACAUUUUAAGUAAAUGAAAGUGAUGGGUUUUUUAAAAAUAUGCAAGCUCGUGUAAAAGGGGAGCAGAUGCUAACAGAUUCCUAAAGAGGAGAUUGCUUUUACGUACAAUAUUGAAUGGGACCCACAUUGGAAAAAGUGGAAUUUCUUAAUGCAGGAAAAAUGUUGUUCUUUGGAAACCACAUUCUUACCUUUAACCAUGAAAGCACAUUAAAACAACUCCCUGAAACUGAUUUUUCAUUUAAAAAAUUAAAGGAAAUUACUCCAAAUUUGUGUUACAAUAUUCCGAAUUCUUCUAGUUAUGUGCAUUUUUUUAAUCAAAAUUGAAAUAGAAACCGAAAUCAUUUUGCGUCUAAAAUGGGUUCAGAGAGAAGAAAGCGAGUGUCUUGAAGUCAUAAAUGGAAUCCACAUUUUAAAAAAGCAAGAAAAAUAAAGUUUUUUUCAUAAUUAGAUUCAUGUAUAAAAUAAUAUAUCAUUAUUAUCUCCAUAAUGGUAAACCGUUUUCCAAUUAAUAGCUUCCUUAUGUUUUGAAACCUUUUGUAGCUGUAUAUGGGAAUGAAGAAUUUAUGGAAUCGAAAUGGAAUCCACAUCUGAAAAUUA